GAUGAACGCUGGCGGCGUGCUUAACACAUGCAAGUCGAACGAUGAAGCCCAGCUUGCUGGGUGGAUUAGUGGCGAACGGGUGAGUAACACGUGAGUAACCUGCACUUAACUCUGGGAUAAGCCUGGUAAACUGGGUCUAAUACCGGAUAGGAGCGUCCACCGCAUGGUGGGUGUUGGAAAGAUUUAUCGGUUUUGGAUGGACUCGCGGCCUAUCAGCUUGUUGGUGAGGUAAUGGCUCACCAAGGCGACGACGGGUAGCCGGCCUGAGAGGGUGACCGGCCACACUGGGACUGAGACACGGCCCAGACUCCUACGGGGGGCAGCAGUGGGGAAUAUUGCACAAUGGGCGCAAGCCUGAUGCAGCGACGCCGCGUGAGGGAUGACGGCCUUCGGGUUGUAAACCUCUUUCAGUAGGGAAGAAGCGAAAGUGACGGUACCUGCAGAAGAAGCACCGGCUAACUACGUG
RNAcentral lists this ribosomal RNA (466 nucleotides) under uncultured bacterium. RNAcentral's name for it is "partial 16S ribosomal RNA". It matches the Rfam family "Bacterial small subunit ribosomal RNA", at positions 28 to 507 of the family's 1533-position model. The record is from RNAcentral.